Molecule: ribosomal RNA, 478 nt
Filed under: uncultured bacterium
Lineage: Bacteria
Description: partial 16S ribosomal RNA
Rfam family: Bacterial small subunit ribosomal RNA
Source: RNAcentral
GAUGAACGCUGGCGGCGUGCUUAACACAUGCAAGUCGAACGAGAAGUGGAGACGGAAACCUUCGGGCGGAAGACUUUAUUUCGAGUGGCGGACGGGUGAGUAACGCGUGGGUAACCUGCCUCAUACAGGGGGAUAACAGUUGGAAACGACUGUUAAUACCGCAUAAGACCACAGCACCGCAUGGUGCGGGGGUAAAAACUCCGGUGGUAUGAGAUGGACCCGCGUUCGAUUAGCCAGUUGGCGGGGUAACGGCCCACCAAAGCGACGAUCGAUAGCCGAUCUGAGAGGAUGACCGGCCACAUUGGGACUGAGACACGGCCCAAACUCCUACGGGAGGCAGCAGUGGGGAAUAUUGCACAAUGGGGGAAACCCUGAUGCAGCGACGCCGCGUGAGUGAAGAAGUAUUUCGGUAUGUAAAGCUCUAUCAGCAGGGAAGAAAAUGACGGUACCUGAGUAAGAAGCCCCGACUAACUACGUG